UACGAAGGGGGCUAGCGUUGCUCGGAAUGACUGGGCGUAAAGGGCGCGUAGGCGGUUUGUACAGUCAGAUGUGAAAUUCCUGGGCUCAACCUGGGGGGCUGCAUUUGAUACGUAUGGACUGGAGUGAGGAAGAGGGUCGUGGAAUUCCCAGUGUAGAGGUGAAAUUCGUAGAUAUUGGGAAGAACACCGGUGGCGAAGGCGGCGACCUGGUCCUUUACUGACGCUGAGGCGCGAAAGCGUGGGGAGCGAACGGG
RNAcentral lists this ribosomal RNA (254 nucleotides) under uncultured bacterium. RNAcentral's name for it is "partial 16S ribosomal RNA". It matches the Rfam family "Bacterial small subunit ribosomal RNA", at positions 524 to 776 of the family's 1533-position model. The record is from RNAcentral.